This 811-nucleotide ribosomal RNA is filed under the name Eudorylaimus sp. MRR-2011. Its description in RNAcentral is "SSU rRNA". It matches the Rfam family "Eukaryotic small subunit ribosomal RNA", at positions 154 to 966 of the family's 1831-position model. Lineage: Eukaryota; Metazoa; Nematoda; Enoplea; Dorylaimida; Qudsianematidae. The record is from RNAcentral.
AAUUCUAGAGCUAAUACAUGCAAUAAAGCUCUGCCCGCAAGGAACGAGCGCAUUUAUUAGAAUAAAAACCAAUCGGGUUUCGGCCCGUAAUUUGGUGAAUCUGAAUAACUUUGCCAAUCGCACAGUCCUAGUACUGGCGAUGUAUCUUUCAAGUGUCUGCCUUAUCAACUUUCGAUGGUACGCUAUACGCCUACCAUGGUAGUAACGGGUAACGGAGAAUAAGGGUUCGACUCCGGAGAGGGAGCCUGAGAAACGGCUACCACAUCCAAGGAAGGCAGCAGGCGCGCAAAUUACCCACUUCCAGAACGGAGAGGUAGUGACGAAAAAUAACGAGACAGUCCUCUUCGAGGUCUGUCAUCGGAAUGGGUACAAUUUAAAUCCUUUAACGAGGAUCUAUUGGAGGGCAAGUCUGGUGCCAGCAGCCGCGGUAAUUCCAGCUCCAAUAGCGUAUAUUAAAGUUGUUGCGGUUAAAACGCUCGUAGUUGGAUUUGCGGCCUCGAAGAACGGUCCCCCGAAAGGGCGGUCACUGUCUCUUCUAGCCUAAAGUCGAGUCGUCUCUAGGUGCUCUUUAUUGAGUGCUUAGAGUGACUAGAACGUUUACUUUGAAAAAAUUAGAGUGCUUAAAGCAGACGAAAUAGUCUGAAUAAGGUGCAUGGAAUAAUGGAAUAGGACCUCGGUUCUAUUUUGUUGGUUUUCGGAGCCCGAGGUAAUGAUUAAGAGGAACAGACGGGGGCAUUCGUAUUCCGGCGCUAGAGGUGAAAUUCUUGGACCGCCGGAAGACGAACAACUGCGAAAGCAUUUGCCAAGAAUG